UAGGGAAUAUUGGGCAAUGGGGGAAACCCUGACCCAGCAACGCCGCGUGAGGGAAGAAGGUUUUCGGAUUGUAAACCUCUGUUCUUGGUGAAGAGAAGAAGACGGUAGCCAAGGAGGAAGCCCCGGCUAACUACGUGCCAGCAGCCGCGGUAAUACGUAGGGGGCGAGCGUUGUCCGGAAUGAUUGGGCGUAAAGGGUGCGUAGGCGGCGAUACAAGUCAGAAGUGGAAGUCCUGUUUUCAAGGCAGGAAUUGCUUUUGAAACUGUUAUGGUUGGAUGGCAGGGGGGUUAUCGGAAUUCCCGGUGUAGCGGUGAAAUGCGUAGAGAUCGGGAGGAACACCAGUGGCGAAGGCGGGUAACUGGACUGCAACUGACGCUGAGGCACGAAAGUGUGGGGAGCAAACAG
RNAcentral lists this ribosomal RNA (405 nucleotides) under uncultured bacterium. Its description in RNAcentral is "bacterial SSU rRNA". It matches the Rfam family "Bacterial small subunit ribosomal RNA", at positions 355 to 775 of the family's 1533-position model. The record is from RNAcentral.